This 403-nucleotide ribosomal RNA is filed under the name uncultured bacterium. RNAcentral's name for it is "bacterial SSU rRNA". It matches the Rfam family "Bacterial small subunit ribosomal RNA", at positions 355 to 775 of the family's 1533-position model. The record is from RNAcentral.
UAGGGAAUAUUGGUAAUGUGCGGAAGCGCGAACCAGCAACGCCGCGUGCGUGAUGAAGGCCUUCGGGUUGUAAGGCGCUUUUUAUGGGGAUGAGGAAGGACAGUACUCAUAGAAUAAGCCUCGGCUAACUACGUGCCAGCAGCCGCGGUAAAACGUAGGAGGCGAGCGUUAUCCGGAUUUACUGGGCGUAAAGCGUGUGUAGGCGGUUUGAUAAGUUGGAUGUGAAAGCUCCUGGCUUAACUGGGAGAGGUCGUUCAAAACUAUCAGACUUGAGAGUGGUAGAGGGAGGUGGAAUUCCGGGUGUAGUGGUGAAAUGCGUAGAUAUCCGGAGGAACACCAGUGGCGAAAGCGGCCUCCUGGCCCAUUUCUGACGCUCAGACACGAAAGCUAAGGUAGCAAACGG